RNAcentral lists this ribosomal RNA (465 nucleotides) under uncultured bacterium. RNAcentral's name for it is "partial 16S ribosomal RNA". It matches the Rfam family "Bacterial small subunit ribosomal RNA", at positions 28 to 507 of the family's 1533-position model. The record is from RNAcentral.
GACGAACGCUGGCGGCGUGCUUAACACAUGCAAGUCGAACGGAAAGGCCCUGCUUGCAGGGUACUCGAGUGGCGAACGGGUGAGUAACACGUGGGUGAUCUGCCCUGCACUUCGGGAUAAGCCUGGGAAACUGGGUCUAAUACCGGAUAGGAGCCAUUUUUAGUGUGAUGGUUGGAAAGUUUUUUCGGUGUAGGAUGAGCUCGCGGCCUAUCAGCUUGUUGGUGGGGUAAUGGCCUACCAAGGCGGCGACGGGUAGCCGGCCUGAGAGGGUGGACGGCCACAUUGGGACUGAGAUACGGCCCAGACGCCUACGGGAGGCAGAGGUGGGGAAUAUUGCACAAUGGGCGCAAGCCUGAUGCAGCGACGCCGCGUGGGGGAUGACGGCCUUCGGGUUGUAAACUCCUUUCGCUAGGGACGAAGCUUUUUGUGACGGUACCUAGAUAAGAAGCACCGGCUAACUACGUG